UGCAGGGCCUUGGAACCACUUCUGCCUCC
Molecule: non-coding RNA, 29 nt
Filed under: Homo sapiens (human)
Lineage: Eukaryota; Metazoa; Chordata; Mammalia; Primates; Hominidae
Source: RNAcentral